AUUGAACGCUGGCGGCAGGCUUAACACAUGCAAGUCGAGCGGUAGCACAGGGGAGCUUGCUCCCUGGGUGACGAGCGGCGGACGGGUGAGUAAUGUCUGGGAAACUGCCUGAUGGAGGGGGAUAACUACUGGAAACGGUAGCUAAUACCGCAUAAUGUCGCAAGACCAAAGUGGGGGACCUUCGGGCCUCACACCAUCGGAUGUGCCGAGAUGGGAUUAGCUAGUAGGUGGGGUAAUGGCUCACCUAGGCGACGAUCCCUAGCUGGUCUGAGAGGAUGACCAGCCACACUGGGACUGAGACACGGUCCAGACUCCUACGGGAGGCAGCAGUGGGGAAUAUUGCACAAUGGGCGCAAGCCUGAUGCAGCCAUGCCGCGUGUGUGAAGAAGGCCUUAGGGUUGUAAAGCACUUUCAGCGAGGAGGAAGGGUGGUGUGUUAAUAGCGCAUCACAUUGACGUUACUCGCAGAAGAAGCACCGGCUAACUCCGUGCCAGCCGCCGCCGUAA
This 506-nucleotide ribosomal RNA is filed under the name uncultured bacterium. Its description in RNAcentral is "partial 16S ribosomal RNA". It matches the Rfam family "Bacterial small subunit ribosomal RNA", at positions 30 to 523 of the family's 1533-position model. The record is from RNAcentral.